Molecule: ribosomal RNA, 301 nt
Filed under: uncultured bacterium
Lineage: Bacteria
Description: partial 16S ribosomal RNA
Rfam family: Bacterial small subunit ribosomal RNA
Source: RNAcentral
CAGCCGCCGCGGGAAAACGUAGGGGGCAAGCGUUAUCCGGAAUUACUGGGUGUAAAGGGAGCGUAGACGGUUAAACAAGUCUGAAGUGAAAUGCCGGGGCUCAACCCCGGAGCUGCUUUGGGAACUGUAGAACUGGAGUGUCGGAGGGGUAAGCGGAAUUCCCAGUGUAGCGGUGAAAUGCGUAGAUAUUGGGAGGAACACCGGCGGCGAAGGCGGCUUACUGGACGACAACUGACGUUGAGGCUCGAAGGCGUGGGUAGCAAACAGGAUUAGAUACCCCUGUAGUCCCUGUCUCUUAUAC